AUAUUUUUCUGGCAGAGAAGAUACCAUGAUCAUAAAAGUGGUUUUCACAGAGCGAAGUUUAUUUUUUGCACGUUGGCUGUGCUGAUCCCUGCGAUUUUCUCCAAUGCGAGGAACUUGACUGCGUAAUUGGUGGUAGGGGGGACUGUGUUCGCGCUGUUCUCUG
Small nuclear RNA from Choloepus didactylus (southern two-toed sloth), 163 nucleotides. RefSeq annotates it as U1 spliceosomal RNA. The transcript has a single exon. The record is from RefSeq and is a predicted model, not a curated record. NCBI's taxonomy places the organism in Eukaryota, Metazoa, Chordata, Mammalia, Pilosa, Megalonychidae.